UGGGGAAUAUUGGACAAUGGAGGAAACUCUGAUCCAGCAAUUCUGUGUGUGUGAAGAAGGUUUUAGGACUGUAAAACACUUUUAGUAGGGAAGAAAAAAAUGACGGUACCUACAGAAGAAGCAACGGCUAAAUACGUGCCAGCAGCCGCGGUAAUACGUAUGUUGCGAGCGUUAUCCGGAAUUAUUGGGCUUAAAGGGCAUCUAGGCGGUAAGACAAGUUGAAGGUGAAAACCUGUGGCUCAACCAUAGGCUUGCCUACAAAACUGUUGAACUAGAGUACUGGAAAGGUGGGUGGAACUACACGAGUAGAGGUGAAAUUCGUAGAUAUGUGUAGGAAUGCCGAUGAUGAAGAUAACUCACUGGACAGAAACUGACGCUGAAGUGCGAAGGCUAGGGGAGCAAACAGG
This 407-nucleotide ribosomal RNA is filed under the name Verrucomicrobiota bacterium. RNAcentral describes it as "Verrucomicrobia bacterium partial 16S ribosomal RNA". It matches the Rfam family "Bacterial small subunit ribosomal RNA", at positions 355 to 776 of the family's 1533-position model. Lineage: Bacteria; Pseudomonadati; Verrucomicrobiota. The record is from RNAcentral.